UACGGGGGGGGCAAGCGUUGUUCGGAAUUACUGGGCGUAAAGGGCUCGUAGGCGGCCAACUAAGUCAGACGUGAAAUCCCUCAGCUUAACUGGGGAACUGCGUCUGAUACUGGAUGGCUUGAGUUUGGGAGAGGGAUGCGGAAUUCCAGGUGUAGCGGUGAAAUGCGUAGAUAUCUGGAGGAACACCGGUGGCGAAGGCGGCAUCCUGGACCAAUUCUGACGCUGAGUGAGCGAAAGCCAGGGGAGCAAACGGG
RNAcentral lists this ribosomal RNA (254 nucleotides) under uncultured bacterium. RNAcentral's name for it is "partial 16S ribosomal RNA". It matches the Rfam family "Bacterial small subunit ribosomal RNA", at positions 524 to 776 of the family's 1533-position model. The record is from RNAcentral.